CAGCAGCCGCGGUAAUACGUAGGGUGCAAGCGUUAAUCGGAAUUACUGGGCGUAAAGCGUGCGCAGGCGGUUAUAUAAGACAGAUGUGAAAUCCCCGGGCUUAACCUGGGAACUGCAUUUGUGACUGUAUAGCUAGAGUACGGCAGAGGGGGAUGGAAUUCCGCGUGUAGCAGUGAAAUGCGUAGAUAUGCGGAGGAACACCGAUGGCGAAGGCAAUCCCCUGGGCCUGUACUGACGCUCAUGCACGAAAGCGUGGGGAGCAAACAGGAUUAGAUACCCGCGUAGUCCCUGUCUCUUAUAC
Molecule: ribosomal RNA, 301 nt
Filed under: uncultured bacterium
Lineage: Bacteria
Description: partial 16S ribosomal RNA
Rfam family: Bacterial small subunit ribosomal RNA
Source: RNAcentral